GAGAAAUGCGGAUAUGGGACUGA
Molecule: non-coding RNA, 23 nt
Filed under: Cricetulus griseus (Chinese hamster)
Lineage: Eukaryota; Metazoa; Chordata; Mammalia; Rodentia; Cricetidae
Source: RNAcentral